AGUUGGUGGAGUGAUUUGUCUGCUUAAUUGCGAUAACGAACGAGACCUCAGCCUGCUAAUUAGUUAAGCGAAUCAUCAAGAUUCGUGUUAAUACUUCUUAGAGGGACUGUUGGCUUUUAGCCAAAGGAAGCAUGGGGCAAUAACAGG
Molecule: ribosomal RNA, 147 nt
Filed under: uncultured eukaryote
Lineage: Eukaryota
Description: partial small subunit ribosomal RNA
Rfam family: Eukaryotic small subunit ribosomal RNA
Source: RNAcentral